This is a long non-coding RNA of Planococcus citri (citrus mealybug), 953 nucleotides long. RefSeq lists it as uncharacterized. The record is from RefSeq and is a predicted model, not a curated record. The transcript is spliced from 2 exons. NCBI's taxonomy places the organism in Eukaryota, Metazoa, Arthropoda, Insecta, Hemiptera, Pseudococcidae.
UGUACCUACGUGUGAAAUAUUUGGAAUAUUUUUCCUUCGUCGUUUAUUGUGAAUGUGUGUGUGUGUGGUUCUAGUUCAUCUUUUUUCUUUUUUUAAAAAAACGAGUCAUGCAGUUGCGAUGUAUUGUACUUUGUACGUUAGUUUUCUUAGAUUUGGAUUCGUUUCUUUUGCAUUGUACGACUUGAAGAUGAAAAUCUGAUCAUUGGUUAGUAUUUACUUUGACUGAUUGCGUUAAUGAAUCAAUAUACCGAAGGAUCUAGUUGACCUUUCAAGUAAACUAAAAUUUACUAUGUUAAUCGUACGUAGUACGUACAUAUACCAUCUGUUAGCCGUCAAUUAAUCAUUUAUUUUUCAUUGUAGAAAGUUUCCAUUCAAAGUUUCAAAUAUAAUUACGACGAAAACGACCAUUAAAACAAUUGUAUCCCAUAACGAGUUGAGUACAUUGCAAGACAUUUGUACUCUUUUGCAGACUCAUGGCAUGUAAUAUUGUUGAUGGAUCGCAUCCAAAAAAUUUAUCGCGAAGAAUUUGGCAGAACGCCUACACCUAAAUAUAUUUCAUCAAUACCUAUCUAUAAACUGGAAAAUCAACGUUAUCAAAAGCUGUUUACGAAUCUCAACAACACAUUCCAUCAAGUAACAUCAGAAUCCAAAAAUACCCUCGACCUUGAAACAAUUUGAGAAGAAUGUAGGAUAGUAUAUCGAAAAAUACAAAAUUUCCACUUGAAUGAACAUAGUGUGCCGCCAGAGUUCCAAAUUUAGACCAACGUACUCACUUCGAUCUAAAAAUACCCCAUUGACGUUUAUCGAACUGGUGGGCGAAAGUUUUCACGAGUUUGUCGCUCUUCUCUUCCGGUUACGUCAAAGUUUACUCAAUUUUUUACUCAUUAGUUCGUAUAUACUCGCUACUCGGCGACCAAGAAUUUGUUUGCGAAUGAAGCUUUUUCACAAUUCUA